CCUACUCCAUGGACAAGGAGGACAACCCUGAGAUUACCAGGCGGACAUGGACGCCUCCAACGAGGCCUAAACUCUCCACUAUGACCACACAAGGUGGUCAUCCUGCUGUUGCAAAGAUUUUCAUUUGUUUGCCUGCAGCACGGCCAGUUGCAUGGUUUCACUUUUUUCUAUCUACAAGCCCUGCUAGUAGUGACUUCCUUCCAGGGUUUUUAUCUAUGUUCCUGCCACAUCAAACAAGCUUUCCUCGGUUGAUGGUAUAUACAUCAAAGUGGUGUUGUUUGCAACACCUAUUUAGUUACACUGAAAAAAAGAUGAAUGCCUCUUCUUCUAUACAUAUAUGUUUGUGAAGGAAUGAAGGAUGAAUGACAUUUACAUGAAUGAAUGAUUUACACACUAGUAGUCCUUGACCUGCUUCUUGGCAUCGGCAAGUAGUAUGAUGCUACUAUCUGAUCAGUUGUGUUACUGAAUGAUUGUUUGUGCCUUUAUUUGAUCUGCCUGCCGUGAGCUAAUAAUCCGUUAUAUUGUACUCCCUCCGUCCCAAAAUUCUUGUCUUAGGUUUGUCUCGAAAUGAAUGUAUCUAAAUACUAAAACAUGACUAGAUACAUUCAUAUCUAGAUAAAUCUAAGACAAGAAUUUUGAGACGGAGGGAGUGCAUGGACAACACUGUAGGACAAUGUUUCAGACCUUUUUUUUGUUGCUAUUUUUUAUGGACUCAAACUAUUGUUCAAAUUCAUAUCAUAUUUGCUCCUGCUGCAUGAUGUGUCUGUUGUUCCUGAUUGGUCACUUGAGGUUGUUUUGCUGACGAAUGAUUGGUACUAUUUCAGUUUGUGCCUGAUAUAGCUAGCUGCUCGCUUUUAUUUCUUACCUAAAUAAAAUUGCUACUGCAUAGACAUUGUUUGGAGAGAGAUGAUUGUGCUAGUACUAUAGCUCACUUUAUGUGUGGUAGAGUUGCUACAUGUCGAGUGGAGUUUAUGCAGGGGAUCAUUUGCAGCUGAGCACCUCAUGUUAAAAGGAGAUGCUACAGGUGUUUGCCCUUUCUCCUGUAUUUUUGGGAGUAAUUGUUUGUCUUCUGGCCACUACAAUAUAGAUGAAAUGUCACAAUAUUCAUUGAAGCUGAUAUUGUUUUGUUGUUGGGAGCACCUUAGCAUGCACAUUGUCUCCUGUAGCUUUGCACUGUCCAUCUAAUACACCAUCAUAUUUACUGUUUAGGUUAUAUAUGGAUUUGCAAACCUGUAUAUUGAGAUCCUUGGCUUGUGUCACUUCUAUAACUGUAUGUAUUAGCAUAGCUCGAAAAUUCCAUCUGUAUCAUGAUACAGGAUAAGUAGUGUCACAUAGACCUCUCGUAAUCUGGUUGUCUUUGAAAAGUGAUGAUUUAAUAGAUCUAAGCAGAUCUCUUGUUUCUCAAAUUCUAUCACGCGCUACUAAUGCAUAUUUCUUUGUUUCAACACACAGCGGUGUGCCUCUUCCCUGGGCGCCACUCUCCCGCUGCUCCUCUGACCCAAGUGCCGACAAAAUGGGCUCGCCAAGGCACACUUCAUGGACGAGGAGGACC
Molecule: long non-coding RNA, 1552 nt
Organism: Hordeum vulgare subsp. vulgare (domesticated barley)
Lineage: Eukaryota; Viridiplantae; Streptophyta; Magnoliopsida; Poales; Poaceae
Exons: 3
Source: RefSeq, a predicted model, not a curated record